CACGACUCAACCCACAACACCUCCUCAAACCACAUUUUAUAAACCGCUGCUCAGCCAUACAUCUCAGACAAGAAAUAUUUGAAAUUACACUUGUGACGUCAAAUGACAGAAAGAUGGCAGGGGAGUAACAGAAGGCCUACACCCAACCCUAUGUCCACACAGCACUAAGCUCCCCAGAGUCUUGUGGCCCCAAUGGACAUGCUCCACCAAUACCUGCAGCCACCAGGAGUUAGAGGAGUGACUUUAGAGCAGCUGGCGGGGAAUUAGGGAAGGAAUCCACCUGCAGAGGCACUUUUUCCAGGGUCUUUCGGAGAAGCGCUUUUCGUGGAAGCCUACCCAGUCUUCAUCUGGCUGUGAUGCCCCAGACAUUUCUUCUAAGUUUCCGGCCUCUGCGUGGAGCCUCAGCCCCCUGAUCCGAGAGCAUUUCCUUCCUUCCCCUGCUCAGCACUGCAGGCUGGGCUCCCCUGUCAGCUGCAUUCCAGCAGGGUUUGGCCUUGGGAAGGCAAUGGCAGGAAACAGGUGGAAAUAUGAGGGUUAACAUCCGGAGGUCAAAACAUCUCUCAAGAACCUCUUUGCCUUGGCUUCUCAGAGCCACCUUUGGAUUAUACAGUAAUUUCACCCGCCGCGACACCUCACUUUAUUCAUCAUAUCAGUCAUUCACCGAUUGGCUCUUCCUCAGACGGGAUGAGUGGCGACCACUUACCGUAUUCCAAACGAAGCCUGAGGAAAGGCAGAAAGCAGACUGAGAAACUUUCUGAGUUACCAAGAACGGCACAUUUUCCAAAGUCAUCUUCAGAAGUGUUCCGGGAGAAAGAGAGGAUAGCUCAGAAAACAGAGCCAGGAGCCAUGGACAAUGGAAUGAAGAACCACACCCGACAAGCCCAGGCCGGCUUUCUGUUCCCACAAGGAUACAGUCACAGAAGCAGAGCUGAGCCUGGUGUGGAUCAACUGACCUCCAGCCGAUCCCUAGAUGCGUGAGCAAGCCCAGCCAAGAUCAGCACAGCCCAGCCAAGAUCAUCUGAGCCUGGACCAGACUAUCUGAUCCGUGGACACAAGAUACAGAAUAAACCCUCUUUGUGGUGCCACUUCCAUCCUCACUUCACAGUUGAAGGAACUGAGGCACAGAGAGGCUAAGGGAUCACUCCAGCUACACAACCAAGAUGAAGGGGAGCCAGAAUUUGAACCCAAGUAGUCUGGUUCUAGAGUCCAUGGUCUACAGCACUUUCCUUUUCUCCCUCUGAGUCCCAGAAAUGUCCACAGUCACACUGGACAGAAAAGUGAUCAGACAACAAACUCCAUGCUUUGUUUUGGGUUUGGAAUUUUACUUUAUGUUUUUUCCAAUCAUUAAAAAAAAUGCACAUUCAUCACAAAAAAUUUGGAAAUUCAGGAAAAAAUAAUGAAGAAUAUUAAAUCACCUAGGAGUACUAUU
Molecule: long non-coding RNA, 1429 nt
Filed under: Equus caballus (horse)
Lineage: Eukaryota; Metazoa; Chordata; Mammalia; Perissodactyla; Equidae
Description: lncRNA (ENSECAG00000048851.1)
Source: RNAcentral